ACUUGUACCGACUGGAUGAGCAGCGAACGGGUGAGUAACGCGUGGGGAAUCUGCCUUUGAGCGGGGGACAACAUUUGGAAACGAAUGCUAAUACCGCAUAAAAACUUUAAACACAAGUUUUAAGUUUGAAAGAUGCAAUUGCAUCACUCAAAGAUGAUCCCGCGUUGUAUUAGCUAGUUGGUGAGGUAAAGGCUCACCAAGGCGAUGAUACAUAGCCGACCUGAGAGGGUGAUCGGCCACAUUGGGACUGAGACACGGCCCAAACUCCUACGGGAGGCAGCAGUAGGGAAUCUUCGGCAAUGGACGAAAGUCUGACCGAGCAACGCCGCGUGAGUGAAGAAGGUUUUCGGAUCGUAAAACUCUGUUGGUAGAGAAGAACGUUGGUGAGAGUGGAAAGCUCAUCAAGUGACGGUAACUACCCAGAAAGGGACGGCUAACUACGUGCCAGCAGCCGCGGUAAUACGUAGGUCCCGAGCGUUGUCCGGAUUUAUUGGGCGUAAAGCGAGCGCAGGUGGUUUAUUAAGUCUGGUGUAAAAGGCAGUGGCUCAACCAUUGUAUGCAUUGGAAACUGGUAGACUUGAGUGCAGGAGAGGAGAGUGGAAUUCCAUGGGUUAAG
Molecule: ribosomal RNA, 616 nt
Filed under: Lactococcus lactis
Lineage: Bacteria; Bacillati; Bacillota; Bacilli; Lactobacillales; Streptococcaceae
Description: bacterial SSU rRNA
Rfam family: Bacterial small subunit ribosomal RNA
Source: RNAcentral